Molecule: ribosomal RNA, 223 nt
Filed under: uncultured bacterium
Lineage: Bacteria
Description: partial 16S ribosomal RNA
Rfam family: Bacterial small subunit ribosomal RNA
Source: RNAcentral
ACGCUCGACACCUACGGUAGGCAGCAGUAGGGAAUCUUCCACAAUGGGCGCAAGCCUGAUGGAGCAACACCGCGUGAGUGAAGAAGGGUUUCGGCUCGUAAAGCUCUGUUGUUGGAGAAGAACGUGCGUGAGAGUAACUGUUCACGCAGUGACGGUAUCCAACCAGAAAGUCACGGCUAACUACGUGCCCGCAGCCGCGGUAAUCUGAGCGGGCUGGCAAGGC